AUUGAACGCUGGCGGCAUGCCUUACACAUGCAAGUCGAACGGCAGCACGGGUGCUUGCACCUGGUGGCGAGUGGCGAACGGGUGAGUAAUACAUCGGAACAUGUCCCGUAGUGGGGGAUAGCCCGGCGAAAGCCGGAUUAAUACCGCAUACGAUCUACGGAUGAAAGCGGGGGACCUUCGGGCCUCGCGCUAUAGGGUUGGCCGAUGGCUGAUUAGCUAGUUGGUGGGGUAAAGGCCUACCAAGGCGACGAUCAGUAGCUGGUCUGAGAGGACGACCAGCCACACUGGGACUGAGACACGGCCCAGACUCCUACGGGAGGCAGCAGUGGGGAAUGUUGGACAAUGGGCGAAAGCCUGAUCCAGCAAUGCCGCGUGUGUGAAGAAGGCCUUCGGGUUGUAAAGCACUUUUGUCCGGAAAGAAAUCCUUGGCCCUAAUACGGUCGGGGGAUGACGGUACCGGAAGAAUAAGCACCGGCUAACUACGUG
RNAcentral lists this ribosomal RNA (486 nucleotides) under uncultured bacterium. RNAcentral describes it as "partial 16S ribosomal RNA". It matches the Rfam family "Bacterial small subunit ribosomal RNA", at positions 30 to 507 of the family's 1533-position model. The record is from RNAcentral.